RNAcentral lists this transfer RNA (101 nucleotides) under Lentinula edodes (shiitake mushroom). It matches the Rfam family "tRNA". From Rfam's summary of the family: Transfer RNA (tRNA) molecules are approximately 80 nucleotides in length. Lineage: Eukaryota; Fungi; Basidiomycota; Agaricomycetes; Agaricales; Omphalotaceae. The record is from Rfam by way of RNAcentral.
UCCGACGUGGUGUAGUGGCUAACAUUAUCGCCUCUCAUACAUCGGUGAAGCAUGAGUAACUGAAAGCGCGAUAGCCCGGGGUUCGAUUCCCCGCGUCGGAA